Molecule: ribosomal RNA, 440 nt
Filed under: uncultured bacterium
Lineage: Bacteria
Description: partial 16S ribosomal RNA
Rfam family: Bacterial small subunit ribosomal RNA
Source: RNAcentral
CCUACGGGAGGCAGCAGUGGGGAAUAUUGCACAAUGGGGGAAACCCUGAUGCAGCGACGCCGCGUGAGUGAAGAAGUAAUUCGUUAUGUAAAGCUCUAUCAGCAGGGAAGAAAAUGACGGUACCUGAGUAAGAAGCCCCGGCUAACUACGUGCCAGCAGCCGCGGUACUACGUAGGGGGCAAGCGUUAUCCGGAUUUACUGGGUGUAAAGGGAGCGUAGACGGCAGUGCAAGUCUGGAGUGAAAGGCGGGGGCUCAACCCCCGGACUGCUCUGGAAACUGUACGGCUGGAGUGCAGGAGAGGUAAGUGGAAUUCCAAGUGUAGCGGUGAAAUGCGUAGAUAUUAGGAGGAACACUAGUGGCGAAGGCGGCUUACUGGACUGUAACUGACGUUGAGGCUCGAAAGCGUGGGGAGCAAACAGGAUUAGAUACCCGUGUAGUC